UACGAACUGUGCAAACGUUAUUCGGAAUCACUGGGCUUAAAGGGUGCGUAGGCGGCUUGUUAAGUAGGGUGUGAAAUCCCCGGCUCAACCGGGGAAUUGCGCCCUAAACUGGCGAGCUGGAGUGAGAUAGGGGUGUGUGGAACUUCCGGUGGAGCGGUGAAAUGUGUUGAUAUCGGAAGGAACGCCAGUGGCGAAAGCGACACACUGGGUCUCAACUGACGCUGAGGCACGAAAGCCAGGGGAGCAAACGGG
This 252-nucleotide ribosomal RNA is filed under the name uncultured bacterium. Its description in RNAcentral is "partial 16S ribosomal RNA". It matches the Rfam family "Bacterial small subunit ribosomal RNA", at positions 524 to 776 of the family's 1533-position model. The record is from RNAcentral.